UUUUAUGGAGAGUUUGAUCCUGGCUCAGGAUGAACGCUGGCGGCGUGCCUAAUACAUGCAAGUCGAGCGAACGGACGAGAAGCUUGCUUCUCUGAUGUUAGCGGCGGACGGGUGAGUAACACGUGGAUAACCUACCUAUAAGACUGGGAUAACUUCGGGAAACCGGAGCUAAUACCGGAUGCUAUUUUGAAACGAAUGGUUCAAAAGUGAAAGAAGGGCUUGCUGUGACUUAUAUAUGGAUCCGCGCUGC
RNAcentral lists this ribosomal RNA (250 nucleotides) under Staphylococcus aureus. RNAcentral's name for it is "partial 16S ribosomal RNA". It matches the Rfam family "Bacterial small subunit ribosomal RNA", at positions 1 to 239 of the family's 1533-position model. Lineage: Bacteria; Bacillati; Bacillota; Bacilli; Caryophanales; Staphylococcaceae. The record is from RNAcentral.